UGAUGUUGGUCCAAUACUCUUUUCAGCCCAUUCACAUAUUCGUACAAAUGAUCCUCCUUUUCGACAAAAUUUGCAAAUAAUUUCAUAUUUCAGCACUAAAUAUGUUUACAUCACAGGCCAUAAAGCCGUACAAACUAGUAUCACUUGUUCCUAUACAAAACUAUCAAAUGAUACAUACAACAAAACAGAAUACAGAAAAUUUAGUUCAACAAAAAUAAGUUUUCUUCCUCUUCCAUCUUCCAGGACACAAAACACCUGUGAAAGUAAAGAUGCCACAACAAAAAUGGAAGGAUCAGCCAUUAGAAGCAUAUUGAGUACAAGGGAAACACGCACUGUGAAAUUUUUGACAGCACGAAUAUUUUUUAUAUUAUAAUAACAAACAGAAAUGUAAUCUGAUUGCAUAAGACAUAUGGCAUUAUCAACAAGACAAAGCAAAAUUUAUAGUGCCAACUCGGGAAUAAGAUAAAGCAAAAUUUAUAAAUCUAUAGCAUCGCACACGAGGUCUAAAUUUAUAAUAUGUUCCUUUAGAAGCAAGAGUUGGUUCGUGUCUAGCUUUUAUUGCAGAUAACUAGUAAAUUUCCACAAAAAAUAGGAGCGACAUAUGUUUUAAUCUCGUGUUUGCAGUAUAUAUUCACAACAUGUAAGAAUACUUUGAUUAACAAACUAACCAACCAUCAACUAACACUUCACAGUACCAACUAACACUUCAUAGUACCAACUAACACUUCACAGUACCAAAAAAAUGGGGUGGCGCUCACCAAUUCAGAUGUGCAGCAGCCAUGAGGGCUUCUUCGUGUUCCACCUACAGCAACGGCAACUUCUACAAAUCUGAGACACAAAACAAACGCAUGCAGAAGGAAUCAGAGGGAGGGGAGAUGAAGAACAUGGCAGGCAUUUAUAUGAUGGCAGUACAUAUGGAACAAACAGCAGUCCAUACUUGCAUCAUCAUGUGUAUAACAAAAUCACGGUCGCCUCUACAGAUAGCACUACUAGAGUAGAGAGCCAAGCAUAAUAAUUCUACCAGGAGACAAUGUAAACACAGAGUCACACCAUUG
This 1055-nucleotide long non-coding RNA is filed under the name Triticum aestivum (bread wheat). RNAcentral describes it as "long non-coding RNA (TAES_LNC003951)". Lineage: Eukaryota; Viridiplantae; Streptophyta; Magnoliopsida; Poales; Poaceae. The record is from RNAcentral.